GAUGAAGAACGCAGCGAAAUGCGAUAAGUAAUGUGAAUUGCAGAAUUCAGUGAAUCAUCGAAUCUUUGAACGCACAUUGCGCCCGCCAGUAUUCUGGCGGGCAUGCCUGUUCGAGCGUCAUUUCAACCAUCAAGCCCCAGGCUUGUGUUGGAGCCCUGCGGCUGCCGCAGCCUCCCAAAACCAGUGGCGGGCUCGCUAUCACACCGAGUGCAGUAGUUUACUCUUCGCUCAGGGCGUGUGGCGGGUGCUAGCCGUAAAACCCCCAACUUCUCAAGGUUGACCUCGGAUCAGGUAGGAAUACCCGCUGAACUUAAGCAUAUCAUAAGCGGAGGA
This 333-nucleotide unclassified non-coding RNA is filed under the name soil metagenome. RNAcentral's name for it is "partial contains 5.8S ribosomal RNA, internal transcribed spacer 2, and large subunit ribosomal RNA". The stretch from base 1 to 120 matches the Rfam family "5.8S ribosomal RNA", at positions 35 to 154 of the family's 154-position model. The record is from RNAcentral.